RNAcentral lists this non-coding RNA (115 nucleotides) under Candidatus Nesterenkonia stercoripullorum. RNAcentral describes it as "S-adenosyl methionine (SAM) riboswitch". It matches the Rfam family "SAM (S-adenosyl methionine) riboswitch aptamer". Rfam says of the family: SAM-IV is a mRNA element that regulates gene expression via direct sensing of S-adenosylmethionine (SAM or AdoMet). SAM-IV riboswitches share conserved nucleotide positions with the previously described SAM-I riboswitches sequence analysis and molecular recognition experiments suggest that SAM-I and SAM-IV riboswitches share similar ligand binding sites, but have different scaffolds. Lineage: Bacteria; Bacillati; Actinomycetota; Actinomycetes; Micrococcales; Micrococcaceae. The record is from RNAcentral.
AUCAUGAGUACCGGUCGUAUUGCUCUGGCAGACCGGUCGGCAACCCUUUCCCGCUGUGACGGGGUGCCCCAGAUGACGAUCCGGUCGGAAGCCACACCGCUUCUGGCAAGCACGG